CUUGUCUCAUGUUGCCAGCACGUAAUGGUGGGGACUCGUGAGAGACUGCCGGGGUCAACUCGGAGGAAGGUGGGGAUGACGUCAAGUCAUCAUGCCCCUUAUGUCCAGGGCUUCACACAUGCUACAAUGGCCGGUACAAAGGGCUGCGAUGCCGCGAGGUUAAGCGAAUCCUUAAAAGCCGGUCUCAGUUCGGAUCGGGGUCUGCAACUCGACCCCGUGAAGUCGGAGUCGCUAGUAAUCGCAGAUCAGCAACGCUGCGGUGAAUACGUUCCCGGGCCUUGUACACACCGCCCGUCGCGUCAUGAAAGUCGGUAACACCCGAAGCCAGUGGCCUAACCCUCGGGAGGGAGCUGUCGAAGGUGGGAUCGGCGAUUGGGACGAAGUCGUAACAAGGUAGCCGUACCGGAAGGUGCGGCUGGAUCACCUCCUUUCUAAGGAGCACCACGAAAACGCCCCAACUGGUG
Molecule: ribosomal RNA, 464 nt
Filed under: Mycobacterium tuberculosis
Lineage: Bacteria; Bacillati; Actinomycetota; Actinomycetes; Mycobacteriales; Mycobacteriaceae
Description: bacterial SSU rRNA
Rfam family: Bacterial small subunit ribosomal RNA
Source: RNAcentral